UCUCGGCGGGGCUGAGGCGGCGGCUGGGCGCAGAGUUUAAUAUUUCCAGAGAAAUGUGACCUCUUCAGUACAGGGAGCAGACAGCUCUCUGAAAGUGACACUAAUGUGAAGAUGUGACGGCUGUACACAAGUCAUGUGGAAGGAAGCGAGACUGCAGGAGCAGGAGGUUCUUCCAGGUGUAUACAUGGUGGAAAUGUGAUGUCUGAGGAAGAAGAAAUCUGUUAAAAUAGGGAAGUGAGCAGAGCAGUAGUCACCAAAAACUGAUGUGUUUUACUGUAUUAAGAUUUUGAGAAACAUUAAAAAUGAUGCUGUUGUGCAUCUAUUAAAGUUAUCCAAACAAGUUG
Nothoprocta perdicaria is the source of this 344-nucleotide long non-coding RNA. RefSeq lists it as uncharacterized. The record is from RefSeq and is a predicted model, not a curated record. The transcript is spliced from 4 exons. Lineage: Eukaryota; Metazoa; Chordata; Aves; Tinamiformes; Tinamidae.